RNAcentral lists this ribosomal RNA (253 nucleotides) under uncultured bacterium. RNAcentral's name for it is "partial 16S ribosomal RNA". It matches the Rfam family "Bacterial small subunit ribosomal RNA", at positions 524 to 776 of the family's 1533-position model. The record is from RNAcentral.
UACGUAGGGCGCAAGCGUUGUCCGGAAUUAUUGGGCGUAAAGAGCUCGUAGGCGGUUUGUCGCGUCUGCUGUGAAAACCUAAGGCUCAACCUUGGGCUUGCAGUGGGUACGGGCAGACUAGAGUGCGGUAGGGGUGACUGGAAUUCCUGGUGUAGCGGUGGAAUGCGCAGAUAUCAGGAGGAACACCGAUGGCGAAGGCAGGUCACUGGGCCGCAACUGACGCUGAGGAGCGAAAGCAUGGGGAGCGAUCAGG